This 682-nucleotide ribosomal RNA is filed under the name bacterium. RNAcentral describes it as "bacterial SSU rRNA". It matches the Rfam family "Bacterial small subunit ribosomal RNA", at positions 69 to 762 of the family's 1533-position model. The record is from RNAcentral.
AUGAUGCCCAGCUUGCUGGGCGGAUUAGUGGCGAACGGGUGAGUAAUACGUGAGUAACCUGCCCUUGACUCUGGGAUAAGCCUGGGAAACUGGGUCUAAUACUGGAUACUACCUCUUGCCGCAUGGUGGGUGGUGGAAAGGGUUUUACUGGUUUUGGAUGGGCUCACGGCCUAUCAGCUUGUUGGUGGGGUAAUGGCUCACCAAGGCGACGACGGGUAGCCGGCCUGAGAGGGUGACCGGCCACACUGGGACUGAGACACGGCCCAGACUCCUACGGGAGGCAGCAGUGGGGAAUAUUGCACAAUGGGCGGAAGCCUGAUGCAGCGACGCCGCGUGAGGGAUGACGGCCUUCGGGUUGUAAACCUCUUUCAGUAGGGAAGAAGCGAGAGUGACGGUACCUGCAGAAGAAGCGCCGGCUAACUACGUGCCAGCAGCCGCGGUAAUACGUAGGGCGCAAGCGUUGUCCGGAAUUAUUGGGCGUAAAGAGCUCGUAGGCGGUUUGUCGCGUCUGCUGUGAAAGCCCGGGGCUCAACCCCGGGUCUGCAGUGGGUACGGGCAGACUAGAGUGCAGUAGGGGAGACUGGAAUUCCUGGUGUAGCGGUGAAAUGCGCAGAUAUCAGGAGGAACACCGAUGGCGAAGGCAGGUCUCUGGGCUGUUACUGACGCUGAGGAGCGAAAGCAU